Molecule: transfer RNA, 23 nt
Filed under: Cryptobatrachus remotus
Lineage: Eukaryota; Metazoa; Chordata; Amphibia; Anura; Hemiphractidae
Description: partial tRNA-Phe
Source: RNAcentral
GCCCCUAGAAAGACCUCUAAACA